This 239-nucleotide long non-coding RNA is filed under the name Elaeis guineensis (African oil palm). Its description in RNAcentral is "long non-coding RNA (EGUI_LNC034194)". The record is from RNAcentral. Lineage: Eukaryota; Viridiplantae; Streptophyta; Magnoliopsida; Arecales; Arecaceae.
CAGAAGGGACUCUACCUCGGGUCAAGCUUCUCCUCGACGCUGACCAACCUGGAAAGAUGACAUUGAAAAAAACUCCAAGAAAUGUAGCAGCGGAUUGAUGCGCUUCAGGCGCCAAAGCAACCGAACAACGAUAUGAGGUUUAACAUUGACCCACCAUUCAUCCGGAAGAUCAUGGAUGAGCCCCUUCCACCUUGAUUCAAGAUGUCCUAGAUGGAGCCUUAUAAUGGAACCACUAAUCC